AUGCAAGUCGAACGCAGUAGCAAUACUGAGUGGCAGACGGGUGAGUAACAUGUGGGAAUCUGCCUUGUGGUUCAGGACAACAUUGGGAAACCGAUGCUAAUACUGGAUAGGCCCUUACGGGGAAAGUUUUAAUGCCAUAAGAUGAGCCCGCAUUUGAUUAGUUAGUUGGUGAGGUAAUGGCUCACCAAGACAAUGAUCAAUAGCUGAUCUGAGAGGAUGAUCAGCCACACUGGGACUGAGACACGGCCCAGACUCCUACGGGAGGCAGCAGUGGGGAAUCUUGCACAAUGGAGGAAACUCUGAUGCAGCGAUGCCGCGUGAGUGAAGAAGGCCUUUGGGUUGUAAAGCUCUUUUGUAGGGGAAGAUAAUGACUGUACCCUAAGAAUAAGGUCCGGCUAACUUCGUGCCAGCAGCCGCGGUAAUACGAAGGGACCUAGCGUAGUUCGGAAUUACUGGGCGUAAAGCGCGCGUAGGCCGUUGAGUUAGUUAAUUGUGAAAUCCCAAAGCUUAACUUUGGAACUGCAAUUAAAACUGCUCGACUAGAGUUUGAUAGAGGAAAGCGGAAUACAUAGUGUAGAGGUGAAAUUCGUAGAUAUUAUGUAGAACACCAGUUGCGAAGGCGGCUUUCUGGAUCAACACUGACGCUGAGGCGCGAAAGUAUGGGUAGCAAAGAGGAUUAGAUACCCUCGUAGUCCAUACCAUAAACGAUGAUUGCUAGAUGUUGGAA
This 727-nucleotide ribosomal RNA is filed under the name uncultured Alphaproteobacteria bacterium. Its description in RNAcentral is "bacterial SSU rRNA". It matches the Rfam family "Bacterial small subunit ribosomal RNA", at positions 55 to 828 of the family's 1533-position model. Lineage: Bacteria; Pseudomonadati; Pseudomonadota; Alphaproteobacteria. The record is from RNAcentral.